Molecule: ribosomal RNA, 526 nt
Filed under: Dermophis parviceps
Lineage: Eukaryota; Metazoa; Chordata; Amphibia; Gymnophiona; Dermophiidae
Description: partial 16S ribosomal RNA
Rfam family: Bacterial large subunit ribosomal RNA
Source: RNAcentral
AUUAAAGGCACUGCCUGCCCAGUGAUUCUCUUAAACGGCCGCGGUAUUCUGACCGUGCAAAGGUAGCAUAAUCACUUGUCUUUUAAAUAAAGACUAGUAUGAAUGGCAAGACGAAAGCUUAACUGUCUCCUUUAUUUAAUCAAUGAAACUGAACUCCUUGUACAAAAGCAAGGAUAAACCAAUAAGACGAGAAGACCCUAUGGAACUUAAAACACGCAAACACUUUAAACCACAACUUAAAACUUGCAUAUACUGUUUUUGGUUGGGGCGACCACGGAGAACAAAUAUCCUCCGACACAUAAUUUCAGUAAAACAAUACAAAAACUCAAAACCUUGAUAAUAGACCCAAAAACAAUUGAUCAACGAACCAAGCUACCCUAGGGAUAACAGCGCAAUCUUCUCCAAGAGUACAUAUCACCAAGAAGGUUUACACCUCGAUGUUGGAUCAGAUACCCAAACAGUGUAACCGCUGUUAAAGGUUUGUUUGUUCAACAAUUAAAAUCCUACGUGAUCUGAGUUCAAACCG